GCCUUCGUGGUGUAGUGGUCAGCACGCUGGACGCGUAACCGAGAGAUCCGUGGUUCGAUUCCCGGCGCGGGCA
This 73-nucleotide transfer RNA is filed under the name Stegodyphus mimosarum. It matches the Rfam family "tRNA". From Rfam's summary of the family: Transfer RNA (tRNA) molecules are approximately 80 nucleotides in length. Their secondary structure includes four short double-helical elements and three loops (D, anti-codon, and T loops). The record is from Rfam by way of RNAcentral. Lineage: Eukaryota; Metazoa; Arthropoda; Arachnida; Araneae; Eresidae.